UACGUAGGUGGCAAGCGUUGUCCGGAUUUACUGGGCGUAAAGGGCGUGCAGGCGGUCUUCUAAGUCUUGUGUGAAAUCCCUCGGCUUAACUGAGGAACUGCACGGGAUACUGGAAGACUUGAGUUCGGGAGAGGGAAGCGGAAUUCCGGGUGUAGCGGUGAAAUGCGUAGAUAUCCGGAGGAACACCGGUGGCGAAGGCGGCUUCCUGGACCGAUUACUGACGCUGAGGCGCGAAAGCUAGGGGAGCAAACGGG
This 254-nucleotide ribosomal RNA is filed under the name uncultured bacterium. Its description in RNAcentral is "partial 16S ribosomal RNA". It matches the Rfam family "Bacterial small subunit ribosomal RNA", at positions 524 to 776 of the family's 1533-position model. The record is from RNAcentral.